GGCUGGUCUAAAGACAGAGUUCACAGCCCAUAAAUUGCUCACAGUCGGUUACAGGUCAAAUUCCUUGUUCUACUCCUUCCCCCCUUCUCACUACUGCACUUGACCAGUCUUAA
This 113-nucleotide Y RNA is filed under the name Prolemur simus (greater bamboo lemur). RNAcentral's name for it is "Y RNA (ENSPSMG00000019680.1)". It matches the Rfam family "Y RNA". From Rfam's summary of the family: Y RNAs are components of the Ro ribonucleoprotein particle (Ro RNP), in association with Ro60 and La proteins. The Y RNAs and Ro60 and La proteins are well conserved, but the function of the Ro RNP is not known. Lineage: Eukaryota; Metazoa; Chordata; Mammalia; Primates; Lemuridae. The record is from Rfam by way of RNAcentral.